UGGUGGUUGAUAGUGUGAACGCUCUCCGACGUCUUCAAGAUCCCGACUAUUCUUGAUAAUACUAUAUGAAAGAAAAAGAAAUAAAAGAAGUAAGCAUAAAACAUAGUAAGUUUACAAGUAAAUAAAAAACAACAUUUAACAUAAAUAAUGAUAUGCAAGUAUCAUGUUCUUAAGUUUCCUCUUUACUUACUCUCAUUUACUUGUUUAUUUACUUACCUAUUUAGAUAGCUUAAGAUUACAACUUACUCUUCUCUUGAUGAAAUAUUGGUUCUCACUGAUAUCAUAACAUAUUCUUAACUCUUAUAACUCACCUGAAGUUGCUAAUUAUACUUUUACUUGAACUUCCAUAGAACAUAAUCUGUUUUCUAGCCCGUUGAGCCAAAAUGGAAUAAUAAGGAUACUUGGGUCUCAUAUCUAAUAAUGACAUGCCAAAGCCAUGUCCCAGACAUGAUCUUACAUGGGAUGUUUCCUGUACUGCCAAUGCCAUAUCCUGCCCAUGCCAUGUCCUAAACAUGGUCUUACGGGGGACCUCUCAUCUCGGUGCCAACGUCAUGUCCCAGACAUGGUCUUACAUAGGACCUCUUAUCUCGGUGCCAACGCCAUGUCCCAGACAUGGUCUUACAUGGGAUCUCUUUACCCAAAUGUUAUGACAUUUGUAUCCAAUACACUCCUAAUGUUUUAACUGGGCUUUUUAACACUGAUUCUCUGUCAUAUCAUACUUGAGUCAACAUUAAAUAAAUUCAUGAAAUAAAUAUAUAAUUGUUGGAAAAUAACAACAUUAAUAAUAAUUAUUAAAAUAUUGCAUUUAUUUACCGUAAACUUACCUCGGUACAAAAUUUGACCAAAUCUAGCAACUUAGUCCUCUAUCUUUUUCUUUCCCCGGUCUAACACUGAAUUUCGUUUUUCUUGAUUAUGGAGCUUGGAAGCUUGAAAACCCUAACUAUGGCUUCCCCCUUGCUAUUUUCGUUCACCAUGGAGAAG
RNAcentral lists this long non-coding RNA (981 nucleotides) under Gossypium raimondii (Peruvian cotton). Its description in RNAcentral is "long non-coding RNA (GRAI_LNC007488)". Lineage: Eukaryota; Viridiplantae; Streptophyta; Magnoliopsida; Malvales; Malvaceae. The record is from RNAcentral.